UAGUGACUUAGCGGCGACGGGUGAGUAACGCGUGGGCAACCUGCCUUGUACAGGGGGAUAACAGUUAGAAAUGACUGCUAAUACCGCAUAAGCGCACAGCAUGACAUCAUGCAGUGUGAAAAACUCCGGUGGUACAAGGAUGGGCCCGCGUUGGAUUAGCUUGGUUGGUGGGGUAACGGCCCACCAAGGCGACGAUCCAUAGCCGGACUGAGAGGUCGAACGGCCACAUUGGGACUGAGACACGGCCCAGACUCCUACGGGAGGCAGCAGUGGGGAAUAUUGCACAAUGGAGGAAACUCUGAUGCAAGCGACGCCGCGUGAGUGAUGAAGUAUUUUCGGUAUGUAAAGCUCUAUCAGCAGGGAAGAAAUUGACGGUACCUGACUAAGAAGCCCCGGCUAACUACGUGCCAGCCGCAGC
Molecule: ribosomal RNA, 418 nt
Filed under: uncultured bacterium
Lineage: Bacteria
Description: bacterial SSU rRNA
Rfam family: Bacterial small subunit ribosomal RNA
Source: RNAcentral